Long non-coding RNA from Chroicocephalus ridibundus (black-headed gull), 1099 nucleotides. RefSeq lists it as uncharacterized. The transcript is spliced from 3 exons. The record is from RefSeq and is a predicted model, not a curated record. NCBI's taxonomy places the organism in Eukaryota, Metazoa, Chordata, Aves, Charadriiformes, Laridae.
UUAGGCGGAGCAGGCAUAAGUUUUGUUGGAGAUUCUGGAACCUGCCACUCUCCUCCUGCGGCUGCCUGCAGCAGGGGGUGACGUCAGCCUGGUGGUGGGACAGGGCAGGAGAGGACCAUGAAAAAGGGAUGGAGGCCUCAGGGUAGAGUCUCUCAAGCCAUGUUUGCUUAGAAAUAUCAUCUUUUUACUUCUGGAAGUCUUUUCCUGUGGAAAAUUUUUGUUCAUGGCUGCCAAAUCAGAGUUUUAGCAGUCCAGCUGGGUUGCUGUGUCUGCAGGUGUGUUUCUGUCUGAAACAAUACAAUUGCACUUGGGCAAGUGAUUUGGAGGGAGACGGUGUGAGUUAUCUCCUCACAGAAGCCUGGGGAGACCCAGAGACAGGGCUAGUGCUGAUGUGCGAGGUGAUGCUCCCAGCAACUGCAUCUUUCGCGUGCUUUCCCUGGCAUCGUGUUUGACUUCCUUCAAGGUGGAGCAGCCCUGCUGAAGAUGAAGAGAGCCUGGACAUUGUGGUGGUGGUUGGUGGCAUCUCCUGCACGUCCCUGCUGAAGCUGGCACAUCGACAUGAGAAUGUCUUUGCAGUUCCUGGCAGGCUGUGGCCUCAGAGGUAGGGAUUGCCCCGAGUCCACCCUGCCUGGCUCAUCCGGCUGUCCCUGAGGAAGGUCAGGUGCCACAGAGGGAGCUGCAGGGAUGACAGCCCUCUCAGGGUAUGAACAACUGUCACCAAAGCCAGCGAAGGAGACAUGAAAGUUGACAUCGUUGGAUGCAGUUGGCUGAGUUAAAGGCUUGCCAGAGUACUUACCUGCACGAUUUUAUGCACCUGAUUUAACCAGCAAAGUUCUACCCCAUUUAGUUGGGCCACUUGUGCACUCACUGGAAGACUCCUCAUGUGCUGCCACUUAAUUAGGACUGCUCUCCAUUGCCGGUUAAAGCCAAUGGACACACUUCCAGUGACACAGAAGAGACCUAAACCAUGUCCCAGUCAUGCAUUCUUAUCUCCUUGCACGGAUGGCUACCUGCUGUCCCACGUGUAUAUUUCAAUUCAAACAUUUGUAAAAACUUUUUUGGUUUCUCACAAAGGUACAACCAGUGGAUAUCUACUUUA